RNAcentral lists this ribosomal RNA (251 nucleotides) under Chrysoculter rhomboideus. RNAcentral describes it as "partial Bacterial large subunit ribosomal RNA". It matches the Rfam family "Bacterial large subunit ribosomal RNA", at positions 1602 to 1882 of the family's 2925-position model. Lineage: Eukaryota; Haptophyta. The record is from RNAcentral.
GUGGUUCCUAGAAAAAAGCCGGUUUAGACCCGUACCAAAACUGACACAGGUGUGCGUGGCGAAUAGCCUCAGGCGCUCGAGAGAACGGUUGUGAAGGAACUAGGCAAAUUGACCCCGUACGUUCGCAAGAAGGGGGCCCUUCGGGGCGCAGAGAAAAGGCACCGGGAACUGUUUAUCAAAAACACAGCACUGUGCGAACUGGCAACAGGAUGUAUACAGUGUGACGCUUGCCCAAUGCCGGAAUGUCACGG